UCGAGGAUCUUCGGCAAUGAGCGAAAGCUUGACCGAGCGACGCCGCGUGCGGGAUGAAGGCCUUCGGGUUGUAAACCGCUUUCGUAGGGGAGGAAAUUUCGGUGGGAUCACCCAUCGAUUUGACCUAGCCUAGGAAGAAGGACGGGCUAAGUUCGUGCCAGCAGCCGCGGUAAUACGAACCGUCCAACGUUAUUCGGAAUUACUGGGCUUAAAGGGUGCGUAGGCGGCCCGGGAAGUUGGGUGUGAAAGCCCUCGGCUCAACCGAGGAAUGGCGACGAAGGCGGCGGGGGUAGAGGGAGAUAGGGGUGAGCGGAACGUAGGGUGGAGCGG
RNAcentral lists this ribosomal RNA (330 nucleotides) under uncultured bacterium. RNAcentral's name for it is "bacterial SSU rRNA". It matches the Rfam family "Bacterial small subunit ribosomal RNA", at positions 355 to 681 of the family's 1533-position model. The record is from RNAcentral.